This 474-nucleotide long non-coding RNA is filed under the name Heterocephalus glaber (naked mole-rat). RNAcentral describes it as "lncRNA (ENSHGLG00100033759.1)". Lineage: Eukaryota; Metazoa; Chordata; Mammalia; Rodentia; Bathyergidae. The record is from RNAcentral.
AGGAGAUGGAGGAGGAGGAGAUGGAGGAGGAGAUGGAGGAGGAGGAGAUGGAGGAGGAGAUGGAGGAGGAGGAGAUGGAGGAGGAGAUGGAGGAGGAGGUGGAGGAGGUGGAGGAGGAGGAGAUGGAGGAGGAGAUGGAGGAGGAGGAGAUGGAGGAGGAGAUGGAGGAGGAGGAGAUGGAGCAGAGCUGAAGCAGAAGAGGAAGAGAAGAAGGAAAAGAAAGAGAAGAAAGAGACAGAGAAGGAGGAGAAGGUGAAGAAAAGCGAAGAAAGAAGAAGAGGAAUAGGAGGCAGCAGUGGAGGAAUAGGAGGCAGGCACGUCCCUGAGCAGUCUUGUGGUACCAGAAAGCAAGGAAAUGUUCAAACACGAAAAGACAGGGUGGCAGAAGUCACCCUGAAGGAGCUCUCGGUGGCUAAAUCUGGAGUGAUUCCAACAAGAAUAUAAAAUAAAAUUGGAUUGUAACCCAGAGUACAA